CAGCAGCCACGGGAAUACAGAGGGUGCGAGCGUUAAUCGGAUUUACUGGGCGUAAAGCGUGCGUAGGCGGCUUUUUAAGUCGGAUGUGAAAUCCCUGAGCUUAACUUAGGAAUUGCAUUCGAUACUGGGAAGCUAGAGUAUGGGAGAGGAUGGUAGAAUUCCAGGUGUAGCGGUGAAAUGCGUAGAGAUCUGGAGGAAUACCGAUGGCGAAGGCAGCCAUCUGGCCUAAUACUGACGCUGAGGUACGAAAGCAUGGGGAGCAAACAGGAUUAGAUACCCCAGUAGUCCCUGUCUCUUAUAA
This 301-nucleotide ribosomal RNA is filed under the name uncultured bacterium. Its description in RNAcentral is "partial 16S ribosomal RNA". It matches the Rfam family "Bacterial small subunit ribosomal RNA", at positions 509 to 809 of the family's 1533-position model. The record is from RNAcentral.